This 206-nucleotide ribosomal RNA is filed under the name uncultured bacterium. RNAcentral describes it as "partial 16S ribosomal RNA". It matches the Rfam family "Bacterial small subunit ribosomal RNA", at positions 568 to 774 of the family's 1533-position model. The record is from RNAcentral.
CGUGUAGGCGGCCCGGUAAGUCCGCUGUGAAAGUCGGGGGCUCAACCCUCGAAUGCCGGUGGAUACUGUCGGGCUCGAGUACGGAAGAGGCGAGUGGAAUUCCUGGUGUAGCGGUGAAAUGCGCAGAUAUCAGGAGGAACACCAAUUGCGAAGGCAGCUCGCUGGGACGUUACUGACGCUGAGACGCGAAAGCGUGGGAGCAAACA